AAUAGAUACCCGGUAGUCCACGCCGUAAACGAUGAGUGCUAAGUGUUAGAGGGUUUCCGCCCUUUAGUGCUGCAGCUAACGCAUUAAGCACUCCGCCUGGGGAGUACGGUCGCAAGACUAGAAACUCAAAGGAAUUGACGGGGGCCCGCACAAGCGGUGGAGCAUGUGGUUUAAUUCGAAGCAACGCGAAGAACCUUACCAGGUCUUGACAUCCUCUGACAACUCUAGAGAUAGAGCGUUCCCCUUCGGGGGACAGAGUGACAGGUGGUGCAUGGUUGUCGUCAGCUCGUGUCGUGAGAUGUUGGGUUAAGUCCCGCAACGAGCGCAACCCUUGAUCUUAGUUGCCAGCAUUUAGUUGGGCACUCUAAGGUGACUGCCGGUGACAAACCGGAGGAAGGUGGGGAUGACGUCAAAUCAUCAUGCCCCUUAUGACCUGGGCUACACACGUGCUACAAUGGAUGGUACAAAGGGCUGCAAGACCGCGAGGUCAAGCCAAUCCCAUAAAACCAUUCUCAGUUCGGAUUGUAGG
Molecule: ribosomal RNA, 529 nt
Filed under: uncultured bacterium
Lineage: Bacteria
Description: bacterial SSU rRNA
Rfam family: Bacterial small subunit ribosomal RNA
Source: RNAcentral